Molecule: non-coding RNA, 146 nt
Filed under: Gorilla gorilla gorilla (western lowland gorilla)
Lineage: Eukaryota; Metazoa; Chordata; Mammalia; Primates; Hominidae
Source: Rfam by way of RNAcentral
GCCGGGUGUGGUGGCGCACCUGCAGUCCCAGCUACUCAGGAGGCUGAGGUGGGAGGAUCGCUUGAGCCUGGGAGGUCGGGGCUGCAGUGAGCCGUGAUCAAACCACUGCACUCUAGCCUGGGCAACAGAGUGAGACCUCAUCUCAA